ACCCAUACUAUUUAUCAACAAAUACUUCUGCAUAUUAACAACAUCGCGUUGGGAAGGGGGGAAACCUGAAUUAAUACUAUCAUAAUGAAAUGUAAGCAUUCUAGUAUUGCUGUGAUACAUAUGACAUCAAUAUAUUCACAGUGUGAGAAAUCUAGAGCGGAUACCAGCAUGUAAAAGACAACAACAAAUCUCCUGUUAAACAAAAUUACUGUAUCUAUUAUGUAAAUAAGAUAACCUGAUAAAAUUGGGAGAGUCGUGCAAUCAUAUAUAUUUACUUAAGAGUUCUUAUGAUGCCUUGUCAACAUAUCCUAGAGACAAACUAUAUAACAGUGGCAUGUAAAUAUUUGGAUAGUCUAUGCUCAUUCCUCUGUUGUUCAAGGCGACUAGAGUUUAUUUAUAAGUAAUUAAAGAGUAACUGCAGCGUUCAGUAAGGAUCUUUCUUUGAUACAAUGUGUGGUCUAACCAAAAGUGAAGGAAAAUGGUCAUAUUACUUCAUACAGCUACUGAAGUUCAUAUUAACUGGUAUGCAAUAUCGCAUGGUUGUUUGCAGGGCUAUAUUCCCAUUUGGUUACUAGGAAAAGCAGCAGCACUAUACCUAACUUGAUCUCAUUAUUAUCAUUAAUCAUGUCUAGCUCUUAAAGUUUCUAUUAAAACUUUCUCCUGUUUAAAAUUGACUCUGUGUAUUUGCAGGAUAUUCGCCCCAAGUCCAGCAAAGUACCAGUCGGGCCUCGUGUGGUGAAAAAACCGGAUGUCUUAAAAUGCACUUAUGAUGGAAACUUGCCUGUCACAAAGAACCCUGGUGGUGCAACAUAAUUUGCACAAAGGGAACAUAGUCAAAGUUUGCAUCAUUGAUCAUAUCUCUCCAGGCUCCAGUUUAUAGACACAAUGUGUUUUGAAAUCUACAGACGGAUCAUGGUCGAACGAACUAAAAUAAAGGUUCAGAUUAUCUGAACCAUAGGUCUUAGGUGGGUUGAUGUUAGCCACCAAGUAAAAUGAAAAUUCUGUUAGUGAGUGUGUAACUACUUAUCCAAAUGUUCUUAGUUACCUGAAUAUUGAAAGGGUUCGAAAUGUAGGAUGAAUCAGAAGGAUGGUUGCAUCAUAAUUUCCACUAUGGCCUGAAACUGCAAGAUCAUAUGCAAACUUUUAAUAUAAAGGAAUGUUCAUCUGGAAGGCUGAGAAAGCCAGAAACUAGCACUUCACUAGCUAGUGUUUUUUCUCAUUCUUCAAAUUUGGUACAUUGCAUGACUCUCAAUUUAAAGCAACACACUGAGUGACAGAUCUCUCAAGAGUGAAGAAACAUAUCGUACAAUCAACUCUCUCAACAUACUUACCUCUGGUGAAUCUGAAGUUGGUGUAGUCAGCCUAGCAAAAUCUUUAAUCAUCUUGAAAGGUAGAAGAAACAAAUACAACUCUGAUUUGCCAAGGCAUGCAUUUUGAUUGUAGCAGAAGAGCGCAGGCAUGCAUUCUGCAUUAACGUGUGUUUUCACUGCAGAAGACAAACGUUACAAAUAUCAGUAGUGAAUAAAUUGUAAUAAUGAAAAGAAAAUAAAAACAAAGGUUUUAUAGUCAGGCAGUCAGCAAGAGGGCUGCUUAUAGUCAUACUCUCACUACCAUAAAAAGCAUGGAUUGUAGAGAUGAUUUACCAUAAAAAAAUGUAGCACGAACGCGAUAUUUUUUACCCAUUCUCUGAAUCCAUUAUCUACGACACAACACACACGCAAGAAGCUGAGCUGACAGUAAAUCAGCAACAAAGAGUCAAACAUCCUUUUGUUUGGGACAUAGGAAUCACUUUCCAACUUCUCAAAUGUGGCUCAACAUUUUAUCAAACACCUAAAGAGCAUAUUCUUAGUGAUAGUGGAAUUAGAUUCUCAAUAACAAGUUGGAUUUAAUUAA
Molecule: long non-coding RNA, 1893 nt
Filed under: Aquilegia coerulea
Lineage: Eukaryota; Viridiplantae; Streptophyta; Magnoliopsida; Ranunculales; Ranunculaceae
Description: long non-coding RNA (ACOE_LNC001744)
Source: RNAcentral